UACGAAGGGGGCUAGCGUUGUUCGGAAUUAUUGGGCGUAAAGAGCUCGUAGGCGGCUUGGCAAGUCGGAUGUGAAAACUCCAGGCUCAACCUGGAGCCGCCAUUCGAUACUGCUAUGGCUAGAGUCCGGUAGGGGAGUGUGGAAUUCCCGGUGUAGCGGUGAAAUGCGCAGAUAUCGGGAGGAACACCGAUGGCGAAGGCAGCACUCUGGGCCGGUACUGACGCUGAGGAGCGAAAGCGUGGGGAGCGAACAGG
Molecule: ribosomal RNA, 254 nt
Filed under: uncultured bacterium
Lineage: Bacteria
Description: partial 16S ribosomal RNA
Rfam family: Bacterial small subunit ribosomal RNA
Source: RNAcentral